Molecule: long non-coding RNA, 4858 nt
Organism: Felis catus (domestic cat)
Lineage: Eukaryota; Metazoa; Chordata; Mammalia; Carnivora; Felidae
Exons: 3
Source: RefSeq, a predicted model, not a curated record
AGCCCAGAGCCUGACGCGGGGCUCGAACUCACGGACCGUGAGAUAGAUCGUGACCUGGCUGAAGUCGGACGCUUAACCGACUGCGCCACCCAGGCGCCCCUAGAUACUACAUUUUUAAAAGGACAGUGAUAAACUAGUGAAGGCUACCAGGCUACUGAGGUUCUGCUUAAUCCAUGAAUGAAUGGAUGAUUAUGGGAAUGUUAGAAGAAAAUACUCAAUUCACUGGGCUGUUGAAGCCACAGUGACUUGUCAGAUGCUGAUCAUCAUAAGAAGGAGGCUAGAAAUAAAGCCAAAAAAUUCUGUAGAUUCAUCUGUGUGAUUCUCACAAAUGUAUUUCAGGAAAGGCAAUCAUAGAUGUGUUUCUGAUACCUCAUCAUUCAUCACCUGAAAAAAAUGGGUAGAUUUAUUCUCUGUUGCCCUGGAGGCUGAAUUAUUUGGAAGGUACAAGGAAGCAGAUUGCAGUUUAAGAUGGGAAAGAACUCUAUUCACCACUGAAAUUGCUGCCUUGCAAAGAAAUGGACUUCUGUUCCCUGGAAUUGUUCUAACAGUUGUUUUAAAAUGUAGGGUUUUUUACUGAGGUAUGGUGGGCCAACAGAUCAGGGGAUGACUGCCCUUGAAAAAGCUAAUUUGUUACAGUUCCCAAGAGGAAAGGACACACCAUGCCACACAGGCACACACAGGUAAGCGUCAGGUUAGGUCAGGAGGCAGAAGGAACAAGGGGAAAGCAAGGUGUGAGCCUUUAUUGUGGUUUCCGUGUUCAAGACAGGGUAAACACACUUAGGAUUUGCUACUUUGAAUAGGUUCAGCAGGCUCUGGGGUAUAGAGGCUGUCUCAAAUUGUCUGGUACCUUGCCCUGUGGUGAUUAGGACAGGGGAGUAUUGACAGGGCAGUGUAUGAGCCAGAUAGAGGAGGUGGGGCUCUGGAUUGGUUGGUUUGUAAAUGAAAGGCAGGAUCCUGGCUGUCUCUAGGAAUUAGCUAGCUGGGGGUGGGGCUGUGCCUCCCCUGUCAGUAAGGCCCCCAGAUGCCAAAGCAUCAAGAAUACAGGAAAUAAGAGCAUGUAAUGAAUACACAGGCUGGUUUACAUAAAUCAUAAAUAUGGUUCCUGCUUGGUUAGAGGCUGAAGUAGCUGUUUUCUAAAACUGUGAUUUGAAUUCAUUCAGACUGUUGCCAAGUCUCCAAAUAAGUUAAACUGAAAACAAAGAAAUGGGAGAUGUAAGAGUUCCAGGGAUCUAUACUGGGACUUGUCAUAUUAACUUUGUGUUAAUUCUGGAAAGGGGAGAUGAUGUUAAAGUUCAUUUAGGAACAUAGUGCCAGCUUGACAGGGUAAGCCAGAGUUCUCACACAGUUUUGUGAGUAGACAACAGUGACUUACAAGUGAUGAACAAAAAAAACUGUGAGGUUUAGGGAUAAAUAGACAAAACUAUGUGUACCAUGGUCUCCUAUGUAUUAUUUAAGCUCAGAAAGAGAUCUCUAUAGCUACCAUUCCAGGGUGUGGUCACAAAAGUAUCUCUAAAAUGCAACCAUUAGGAAGGGGGUUGAAAAUUAAGCAGAGGAUUUUACCAACCAUUAUAAGAAACAAAACACAAAAUUUGUCUCUCUUUAACCUAUGUAUGGUUUACUUAUCGCAUUUCAGGUGAAAGGGUGGGUUGAAGAAAACCCAAAGAAAAAUAGCACAAGUGACCAAGAGAAGGCCAGCCACUAGACGUGUAGGCCUGUCAGUCUGGAAGUCAAGGCUGAGAAUGAAUAUUAUCCAAAUCCAUAAAAUCAGGGUGAGUAUGGAUGGUUAGGGUAGGUUAAACUUGGAUUUCCUGACCAAAUUCCUGAGUGCUAAUAAUUAAGGCAGCAACCCUUAAAACUUGAGAAAGAAAUACUUAGAGGCAAAAAGGUUUAUGCUGUGUAAGAAACAGGGAUUUUUCUACCCAGAGGUGGUAUAGGGAGAGAUAGUUUCAAAACUGAGUUUUAGGUGUUUUUAAGUUUAUUUAUUUAUUUUGAAAGAGAGAGAGAGAGAGAGAGCACAAACAGGGGAGAGGCAGAGAGAGGGAGAGAGAGAGAAUCCCAAGCAGCACAGAGCUGGAUGCAGGGGUUUUAACUCAUGAAUCAUGAGAUCGUGACCUGAGCAGAAAUCAAGAGUCAGAGGCUUAACCGAUUGAGCCACCCAGGCGCCCCUUGAAAUGGAGUUGUUAAGCAACAAGAAAUACUGGAAGCUAUUUGUGUUAAUUCUCACUUCACACAUGGGCAAAGUGGCCCAAGAGAGAUUAGGUGUCUUGGCCUAGGUGACACAGUUAGCAAAAUCCAGGUAAUCCAACUUUCAUUAAUAAACAUAAGCACUCUGUCAGGCAUUGUACAAAGUUCACUCUACCCUGCCAUGUGAUAAGAUAAAUCCAUUAGCAAUCUCUAGAGGUUUCUAAAGAGUUUUUGAUAGAAGCUAGAAAUUUAGUAAAAUAUCAUUUUUAACACUGACAGCAUGAAAGACAGGUUAGCAGCCUUAUAAAACAUAUCUUCAUACUUACUGUCUGAGACAAAGACAGGAUAGACCAUUAGGUAGUAUUCAUAUUUGAUCACCCUUAUUUAAUGCUUGGUACUUGUAAAGCUGCCAGAAAUGAAGAAAUAAAUAUCUACCUUUUUGAUAUCUAUGUGACAGCUCUCUAUCAGCACAAAUAAACAGCAGUUAAUGAUUCACCCACUGUCAUCCCUGGGUUAUGUGCAGACAUGGAGGUGUGGCCUCAAAGACUGAUAAGGCAUUUUAUUUUUCUCCUGUGUUAUAUCCUUGUAAUUAGAUGGGACUAUGUACACUGAAGCUUGGAAAAUCCAUAGUACUUUAAUGAAGUUUGCUAUGAUAUAUGUUCUUUAGUUGUCAUUUCGGAAUUUUUUCCUAGACCCUGUUCCUCCCAUUAGAAGUAUCUUUAGAAAAGCCUCAUUUUUUGCUGGAUUUUACAGAUUCAGAUUUUAUGAAGAUUCAACCCCAAAGCUCCUUUUUGAUUUUCACUUUUGAAGAACACUUUAAAGCAAAUAUAAUAAUAUAAAUUAAAUUAUAGGGAAAAGGUUUAAACUCAUCACAAAAACAGUUUUCCAACAUCUUGGAAGUAUAUAUCUUCAUAUAAGCAAUUGUCAUGCUAUCAUAAAACUGUUCCUACCUGUUGGAUAGGGAUCUUGAAAAACAAGAUAGUAUAACUUAAGUAUUCCACAGCUCUUCUCAGAAAUGAUGGUGGAAACUGAGUAAGCUCUUGAAAUCUCAUUAUACAGUAAGUUUUCUUUUUGAUUAUUUUUGUAGGACUGACCUUAUUCAUUUGACAAGUAUUUUUCAGCAUCUACGGUGUGCCAAGCACAGGGCCAGGAGAUGUGAAGACGAGUAAGACCGUCUUCACCUUCAAAGACAUGCAUGACUAUGCUCAUGGCUCUGCAGCAGUUUUACUCGACCAGGAAUAAUAACAGAAGGAAAUUGACAUAGAUGAUCACUCCAUCCCUUUGGAGACCAUACUUCUCACCAAAAAACCUGGGGCUGAUACAUGCAAAGGGACAGUCCUUCCCAGUGCCAAAAGAGAGCAUUAGAGCCCAAGUCACCACUUCUCCAUGCUCCUGCUCUUGAGGCUGGAUCCAUGGAGUUACAGUUCUUGGGGAGUAAGACCACAGAGACUGAGCUGAAGAGAAAGGAGAGACGUCGAGAGAGGAGAGAACAGGGGCCUUGAUGAACAGGAGGAUGUGACCAGGCAGAAGAAGGGAUGGCCACCAUGGAAGAAAAAAAGCCAGCAGGGAAAUAAAAGGUAUGCCUCAAGCAAGGCAAAGUGGGUUAUUCCAGUAAAAAGGUUCGUAGGACAUGUAUGCAGAAAUGUAACAACUAUGCCCACGUAUGUCCUGGCCUGGAUCUGUGGGAUGUCUGGGGAGAAGCCGUGUGUGUGUGUGUGUGUGUGUGUGUGUGUGUGUGUGUGUGUGAGAGAGAGAGAGAGAGAGAGACAGAGACAGAGAGAGAGACACAGAGAGACAGAGAGGGAGAGAGAGAAAUCUCCUAACUUUAAAAUGUUGGCUCUUACCUGUAGAAGUAGCCAAUGGAGGACAAAAGGCAUCUGCCAACAGCUGGGUUGCAAGCAUCUGUUGGGAAAUUUUCAGUUUUUUCCUUAAAAAAAUGAUUUUUCUAGUUCACAUUCAUUAGGAUGGCUAUCACCAAAAAAUUGGAAAAUAGUCCGUGUUGGCCAGGAUGUGGAGAAAUAGGAACCCCUGUGCACCGUUUGUGGGAACGUAAAAUGGUACAGCCACUUGGAAAACAGUUCGGCAGUUCCUCCAAAAGUUAAAUUGCAUGGAAAUACAAUACGAUCCAGAAAUUUUACUUCUAGGUAUAUCCUCAAAAGAGUUAAAAGCAGGAAGUCGUAUACUUACAUAUUCACUGUUCAUAGCAGCAUUACUCACAAGAGCCAAAAGGUAGAAAUAAUCUAAGUGCCCAUCACCAGAUGAAUGGCUAAACAAAAUGUACCUACCGUGGAAUAUCAGUCAGCCUUCAAAUGUAAUGAAAUUCUGACACAUGAAUGAACCUUGAAGGCAUUGUGGUAAGUGAAAUAAACCAGACUCAAAAGGAUAAAUAGUGUAUGAUUCUGCUUCUCUGAGGUGCCCAGAAUAGGCAAAUUCAUAGGGACAGAGAGCAGGAAACAGAACACUGGGGACAAGGAGGAAGCAAUGAGGAAUCGUCGUUUAACGGGUACAGAAUGUUGGUUUGGAAAGAUGAAAUAGUCCUGCAAGUGGAUAGUGUGAUGUUUGUACAUAGUGUGAAGAUAUUAAUGCCACUGAACUAUGUACUUAAAAUGGUAAAUUUUAUGUUAUUUACAUUAUUUAUUUUAAUUAUUUAAGUUUAUCUUUUUUGAGAGAGAGA